UAUUAGAAAUUUUUUAUAUUUAGUAGUAAGUGAUUUUCAUGAAACUAAAAUAAAUUGGCGGCUAUAUGAAUUUUUUAGAGAAACUUAUUCUAUAAAGGAUAUGACCCCAAUAUCUUACUUUUUAAUGUAAAUUUCAGCUCGUAUACCUCUAUUUUAUUAUUUUAUAAAAAAUAGUAUUUAACUUUUUUUGAAAAGUUAAAUUUUAGGGAAAGGUGCGGUUAAUGAAAAAGUUUGAAAUAAGUUUUAUUAAUUUUUAUUUUAAAAAUUAGUUUUUGUAAUAUUUUAAUAUUUAAAAUUUAAAAGUAAAAUUGGUUUAUUAGGUUAAUUUGAAUUUCUUUUCAGUAUGUGUACAUAUCGCCCGUCACUCUCUUUUUGAG
This 377-nucleotide ribosomal RNA is filed under the name Amblyseius swirskii. RNAcentral describes it as "partial 12S ribosomal RNA". Lineage: Eukaryota; Metazoa; Arthropoda; Arachnida; Mesostigmata; Phytoseiidae. The record is from RNAcentral.